AGUUUAUUUCUUGAGCCUCCCUUACAGAACAAACACUCCAAAUAUCAAGGCUUUGAGCCCCAAGACAGGAGCCCUCCUGGGAGCAGCACUGGCUCCUUUCUUGCAGACAUGAGAGGACUCAGACAUUUCAGUCAUAAGGACCAUCUCAAGUAGAAAAGUGAUGCAAUUGGAUCUGAAACUCUAUUCCAGGUUCUAUGAAGAGGCAUGAAGUCUGACUACACUUGAGCAGAUCAUCAAUUACCUGACGUCUCCUAACCUCCAAUCACUUCUCUCCAAUUUUCAGACUACCUUGCCCUCUAUCCCAUAAAUAUCCCUGAGUCCCUAUUUUUGUGGAAGGGAAUUUGAGGCUCAUGCUCUCACUUCCUCGCAUGGCUGCCUUGUGAGUAAAUUCUCUCUCUGCUGC
This 403-nucleotide long non-coding RNA is filed under the name Equus caballus (horse). RNAcentral describes it as "lncRNA (ENSECAG00000054703.1)". The record is from RNAcentral. Lineage: Eukaryota; Metazoa; Chordata; Mammalia; Perissodactyla; Equidae.